CAGCAACUCUUUGCAGGCAUCAAGAAGCAGUGGUCUGUUGGAUUUCAUAUCUACAUCGAGAUGAACGUUAUGGUGUUGGAGUAAUUCAUUUUUAGUCUGCUUUUCUCGCUGAGGCUCAGGAUGGAAAAAGAAGAAAUAUGCCUUGAAAUAACAUACAAUCUUCUUGGAGAGACUGAGAUGAGGAGGAAUUUAAGGAGAAGAAGAGAGAAACCAUUUUAGAGUGACAGAUGAGCUGGGAGACAGGAUGGAUUGGGCAGCUCAAACUGGCUUUGGGCCAAAAUUGUCCAAGAAUCAAGAUGGAAAGUUUGUCAUUUCCAGCUCAGGCAUCAAAAAAAUCCUAAUCACAAUUUUGGGAUGAUGGUUGGUAGUAGUUUGGAAGGAAGAAUUUAGCUGAACCCAUAAUGGUCUGAUUGUAUCCACAAAAACACUCCCAAGCUGAAGAAGAACUAUCUGCCAGGCUCUGCAAUUCAUGCCAAGAGAGAGGAACUGGGGGGAACAAAAGACUGAAUCCUGUGCCAGUGUUGGAGAACAGUCUUCAUUAAAGUUUCUGCUGUCUUGCACCCAUUUCUAGGAAAGAAAUGUUGAGGUACUGCAUUGGUCAGUUUAGGAUUAGCUACUUAUUAUUCUGUUUUUGGCUUCUUUUGAGUAACUUCUCAUAUACCCUAUCUAUAGUGAACCAGAGCACGGGGGGAGGGGGGCAAAAAUAGGGACUCUAGUUGGUGGCAGGCUACCCAAGAACAGCUUCUUAGCCUCAACAGGGAGACACUACUAGACUCUUGCUCUAGUCUACUUCUACAGACAGACUAACAACAAGGAGGUUAGGAAAGAAAGGAUCUCUUUAAUGGAGUUGGCUAGCCCACCCCAUAAUUAGAUAAGCCAAAAGCGCCUAGAGGCCUAGAAUAAAACAACCUUGGAGAGGGAAAUAAACAAUAGAGUUACACAGUUGUAUUGCCAUGUGUAGUUUGGAAGAGCCAUCUAACUCAUACUAACACAUUCAAUGUACCAAGGCUCAGGUGCAGGGAAUAUCUGAGAACGGCAAGAAUGUCUAACUUCAUAGCAGCUGGCAAUAAUAUAGGCAUAUUGAUGGAGAGCCAAAAGAUACUUUGAUGUAUGAGAAACUUGUAAUCACUAAUUCUACACAGACUCUGUUAAAACAAAAAACAAGAAUGAACUAGCUAUUUUUAUGUGUUUCAAGAUGUUUCAGAUAUGGAUAAUCUUGUUUGGUGUAUGAAAUGAUAAGAUAAUAACCAAGAAUUUGAGUUUCUGAGGCAGCUAUUGUUAAGAAAAGGUUCUGAAACCCUAUAAAUAUGACAAGCUCAUCUGAUAACGAGCUUCUUCAUUGAAGGAGCUCCUUGUCUGUUACCUUCUUACCUUUGGGUAAGAUACCUUUUGGACUCAUGUAAUUGCUGUCCUUAAUGGUCUUUGUUAUAACGGAUGGUAUAAUUUUCUAUUGAUUACGUUGUUAUUAAGUAUACUUAGGCAUGUUGUAAUAAUAAAAGAAUAAAAAGGAAGUAGAGACUCCAUAAUCGUGAAAUUAUUUGAUAUAGGAAGGCUAAUUAGACUUUCUGGGCUUCUUAACUGCGUGCCUAUAUCUGAAUCAGGUCUGACAGGAGUCAUCCAGAACACUAAGCCCUCUUGAUCACUUACCAGGGAGAGUCAAAGGGAGUCCCAAGAAGGUGAAUUCUUGGCAUAUAAUAAUCCAGUCUGAAGGAAUGUAAUAAAAGAUUAUUAGCAGGAGAUACUAGGAAAAGAGAUACACUUUCCAAUUUUAUUCCACCCGUUAAUAUAAUUCCAUGAUACAUUUUUAAAAUAUACUGUUGUCUGGUUAGAGUCCAUGGGAAAAGGUUGGGUAAAAACCAAAAUGAACAAGCAAGCAAAGAACAUGAGAAGAUGGUUGUUCUAGAAUUUUUUUUUAAAAAGUAUAGGUAGUUCCCUGUGUAAGUUCCGAGUCAUUACUGACCCAAGAUGUCACAUCAUGACAUUUUCUUGGCAGACUUUUUACGGGGUGGUUUGCCAUUGCCUUCCCCAGUCAUCUACACUUUACCCCCAGGAAACUGGGUACUCAUUUUACCAACCUUAGAAGGAUGGAAAGCUGAGACAACCUUGAGCCAACUAUCUGAACCUGGCUUCUGCCAGGAUUGAACUCAGGUCAUGAGCAGAGCUUGGACUGCAGUACUGUAGCUUACCACUCUGCGCCACAGGGCUUUUCUAGAAUAUUGCACAGAAUAUUGGUCUAGAAUAUUGAAUAGAAAAUGCCAAAUUAUGGUAUCUGAAAUGUAAAUUUUGUGACAGCAAUUACUGUACUGGCGGAUGUUAAGUCACAAAGUUUAAUUUGCACAAUCAACAGGAAGUAAAUUGAAUAUACAAACCACUCAUAAGAAUCAUCAUCGGGAAAUAAAUUGAAUGUACCAAACUACUCAUUGUAAGAGGAAUCAUUUGCAUAAAUUCAACCUUAAAUACAUAUGCAGAUGAUGAAAUCUUAAGUUGCAGUUGCAGUUGCUAUCCUGCAAGAACGAUGAAUAUCAGGAUGCAUGUUUAUGCUCAAGAUUAUAAAAGCAAAAAAAAGCCACCUAUUCUUAGCUCAGUUUAAUCUCAUCCUAUACAAGGAGACCUGUGCUAAUCAGGGGGGAGCAAAGUACCUUGAGACAAAAUGGAAUUAAAGACACUCUACAGGACUGAUUGUGGGUUUUUUUUCUCUACUGUUUUCCAUCCAGGUUUUAUUUGCUUGACGUUUGCUUGUGGCAGAUUUUACUGAGCAUUUAAUUUCCCAUUGAGAUGCAUCAGAGCCUUUAAUUUUAUUUCCUUUUCUGAUGCAAUAAGCUCUUACCGACAGCAAAGAGAGUACGCGAAUCAUGAGAAUAAUAAACCACACUCGCUCUUGAAAGCUGCACAACCCGUUCAAACAUGCUGGAGGGAGCAGUACAGCCUGCCCUAAGAUGCAUGGCUUUCCAUGGGCAACGGCCCAUUUUAUGAGUCAUGAGACAUAAUGGAGUAUUGUUGAAAGUUUUGGGGCCAUGAGAAAUUAUCUAUGGCUGGACAUGGAGAAUGGUAUAAACUGGCAAGAAACUAAAGUUACAUUCUUCUCCAGCAAUGAAAUCAGCCAGCACUGGCCCAGUUUCCAGUAUAUAAUACUACAAAUCAUGCAGACUUGCUUUUUAAUUAAAGGCAAUUCAUUUUAAAGAGCUGUCACUGUGAUUCUACCAGGUAACUUCAGCAGAGCUGAGGUUGUGUGUUGUUUUGAGUGCAGGUAUGAAAAGAGCAGUGAAUUUUAGGAACUUUGGUGCCUUCCCCUACUCUUUCCUUUGCCUUCACAACGUUGAUUGUGUCUGGGAUCAAAGACUUUUGCCUAUUGGAAUGUAUUUACAGUUGCUUUUCUUCACUCAUCAAAAACAAACUUUGCAAUCCUCAAAGUGAAAAAAGAAAAGGUGGAACUCCAAGAGACAACAUGGGAAAUCAGAUUCCUGGGACAGAACAUGGAAUGAAAGAACCAAUGCAGAUGUUAAAUUCAGCACAAGACUGUUGAAACAGAAUCCAUUAAGUUGGAUACCAUUUACCAAGAGUUUAAAAAGUACUUGGAAUUCCUGAGUCUGUACGGGUGUUAGCUAGACUAGCAAAACUAGGGAAAUGUCCAUUUUCUGCUAUUGUAAAUAGUCUCUGCACUUUUCUUGAUUGUUUGAUUUUUGCAUAAUUGCAUCUCACCUUGUACUUCCUACAUUUCAUGGCUUUUCACACCACUGUUUAUACCUGUUUUUCUUCAUCACUGCAUGUAUCUGAU
Long non-coding RNA from Eublepharis macularius, 3775 nucleotides. RefSeq lists it as uncharacterized. The record is from RefSeq and is a predicted model, not a curated record. NCBI's taxonomy places the organism in Eukaryota, Metazoa, Chordata, Lepidosauria, Squamata, Eublepharidae. The transcript is spliced from 3 exons.